AACGAACGCUGGCGGCAUGCCUAACACAUGCCAGUCGAACGAGACCUUCGGGUCUAGUGGCGCAAGGGUGCGUAACGCGCGGGAACCUGCCCUUAGGUUCGGAAUAACUCCCCGAAAGGGGUGCUAAUACCGGAUAAUGUCUUCGGACCAAAGAUUUAUCGCCUUUGGAUGGGCCCGCGUUGGAUUAGCUAGUUGGUAGGGUAAAAGCCUACCAAGGCGACGAUCCAUAGCUGGUCUGAGAGGAUGAUCAGCCGCACUGGGACUGAGACACGGCCCAGACUCCUACGGGAGGCAGCAGUGGGGAAUAUUGGACAAUGGGCGAAAGCCUGAUCCAGCAAUGCCGCGUGAGUGAUGAAGGCCUUAGGGUUGUAAAGCUCUUUUAACCGGGAUGAUAAUGACAGUACCGGGAGAAUAAGCGCCGGCUAACUCCGUG
This 433-nucleotide ribosomal RNA is filed under the name uncultured bacterium. RNAcentral's name for it is "partial 16S ribosomal RNA". It matches the Rfam family "Bacterial small subunit ribosomal RNA", at positions 29 to 507 of the family's 1533-position model. The record is from RNAcentral.